Molecule: transfer RNA, 70 nt
Filed under: Acanthosepion pharaonis
Lineage: Eukaryota; Metazoa; Mollusca; Cephalopoda; Sepiida; Sepiidae
Description: Sepia pharaonis tRNA-Val
Source: RNAcentral
CAAAACUGAUUACUUUAAAUUAACCAUCUUCUCAAUGUAAGUGAGAUACAUUAUUUAUGUUAAAUUUUGA